RNAcentral lists this microRNA precursor (110 nucleotides) under Pelobates cultripes (western spadefoot toad). Lineage: Eukaryota; Metazoa; Chordata; Amphibia; Anura; Pelobatidae. The record is from RNAcentral.
UGUGUGUGUGUGUGUGUGUGUGUGUGUGUGUAUGUAUGUAUGUGUGUAUAUAUAUAUAUAUUUAUAUAUAUAUAUAUAUAUACGCGUACACACACUCACACACACUUACA